This 81-nucleotide transfer RNA is filed under the name Candidatus Vidania fulgoroideorum. Its description in RNAcentral is "tRNA-Leu". It matches the Rfam family "tRNA". Rfam says of the family: Transfer RNA (tRNA) molecules are approximately 80 nucleotides in length. Their secondary structure includes four short double-helical elements and three loops (D, anti-codon, and T loops). Lineage: Bacteria; Pseudomonadati; Pseudomonadota; Betaproteobacteria. The record is from RNAcentral.
GCCUAAGUGAUGAAAUUGGUAAACAUGAAAGAUUCAAAAUCUUUUGCAUUUUGCUUGUUGGUUCGAGUCCAAUCUUAGGCA